UACGUAGGGUGCGAGCGUUAAUCGGAAUUACUGGGCGUAAAGCGUGCGCAGGCGGUUUUUUAAGUCCGCUGUGAAAUCCCCGGGCUCAACCUGGGAAUGGCAUUUGGGACUGCAAGGCUCGAGUGCGGCAGAGGAGACUGGAAUUCCUGGUGUAGCAGUGAAAUGCGUAGAUAUCAGGAGGAACACCGAUGGCGAAGGCAGGUCUCUGGGCUGACACUGACGCUCAGGCACGAAAGCGUGGGGAGCAAACAGG
This 253-nucleotide ribosomal RNA is filed under the name uncultured bacterium. Its description in RNAcentral is "partial 16S ribosomal RNA". It matches the Rfam family "Bacterial small subunit ribosomal RNA", at positions 524 to 776 of the family's 1533-position model. The record is from RNAcentral.